GAUGAAGAACGCAGCGAAAUGCGAAAAGUAGUGUGAAUUGCAGAAUUCAGUGAAUCAUCGAAUCUUUGAACGCACAUUGCGCCCGCCAGUAUUCUGGCGGGCAUGCCUGUCUGAGCGUCAUUUCAACCCUCAUGCCCCUAGGGCGUGGUGUUGGGGAUCGGCCAAAGCCCGCGAGGGACGGCCGGCCCCUAAAUCUAGUGGCGGACCCGUCGUGGCCUCCUCUGCGAAGUAGUGAUAUUCCGCAUCGGAGAGCGAUGAGCCCCUGCCGUUAAACCCCCAACUUUCCAAGGUUGACCUCAGAUCAGGUAGGAAUACCCGCUGAACUUAAGCAUAUCAAUAAGCGGAGGA
RNAcentral lists this unclassified non-coding RNA (348 nucleotides) under soil metagenome. RNAcentral's name for it is "partial contains 5.8S ribosomal RNA, internal transcribed spacer 2, and large subunit ribosomal RNA". The stretch from base 1 to 120 matches the Rfam family "5.8S ribosomal RNA", at positions 35 to 154 of the family's 154-position model. The record is from RNAcentral.